GACGAACGCUGGCGGCGUGCUUAACACAUGCAAGUCGAACGGAAAGGCCCUGCUUUUGUGGGGUGCUCGAGUGGCGAACGGGUGAGUAACACGUGAGUAACCUGCCCUUGACUUUGGGAUAACUUCAUGAAACUUGGGCUCAUACCGGAUAGGAGCUCCUGCUGCAUGGUGGGGGUUGGAAAGUUUCGGCGGUUGGGGAUGGACUCGCGGCUUAUCAGCUUGUUGGUGGGGUAGUGGCGUACCAAGGCUUUGACGGGUAGCCGGCCUGAGAGGGUGACCGGCCACAUUGGGACUGAGAUACGGCCCAGACUCCUACGGGAGGCAGCAGUGGGGAAUAUUGCACAAUGGGCGGAAGCCUGAGGCAGCAACGCCGCGUGCGGGAUGACGGCCUUCGGGUUGUAAACCGCUUUCGCCUGUGACGAAGCGUGAGUGACGGUAAUGGGUAAAGAAGCACCGGCUAACUACGUG
RNAcentral lists this ribosomal RNA (468 nucleotides) under uncultured bacterium. RNAcentral's name for it is "partial 16S ribosomal RNA". It matches the Rfam family "Bacterial small subunit ribosomal RNA", at positions 28 to 507 of the family's 1533-position model. The record is from RNAcentral.